This is a long non-coding RNA of Dromaius novaehollandiae (emu), 201 nucleotides long. RefSeq lists it as uncharacterized. The transcript has 2 exons. The record is from RefSeq and is a predicted model, not a curated record. NCBI's taxonomy places the organism in Eukaryota, Metazoa, Chordata, Aves, Casuariiformes, Dromaiidae.
GAGAGGGGGGGGGAGGCGCUGAGAGAGGAGGGGGGAUCUGCCGCAUGGUCAAUGUUGCUCCUUUUGGCAGGCCUGUGUCCCCAUACCCAUCGCCCCCCUCGAUCCGAACCUUUACUAUUGCCCAGGGAGGGUCUGGGAACACAGGCCUGCCAAAAGGAGCAACAUUGACCAUGCGGCAGAUCCCCCCUCCUCCCUCAGCGC